This 1591-nucleotide ribosomal RNA is filed under the name Lacticaseibacillus rhamnosus. Its description in RNAcentral is "bacterial LSU rRNA". It matches the Rfam family "Bacterial large subunit ribosomal RNA", at positions 1222 to 2821 of the family's 2925-position model. Lineage: Bacteria; Bacillati; Bacillota; Bacilli; Lactobacillales; Lactobacillaceae. The record is from RNAcentral.
UGCGCGGUAGGAGAGCGUUCUAAGGGCGUUGAAGGUCGAUCGUGAGGACGGCUGGAGCGCUUAGAAGUGAGAAUGCCGGCAUGAGUAGCGAAAGAUCAGUGAGAAUCUGAUCCACCGUAUGACUAAGGUUUCCUGGGGAAGGCUCGUCCUCCCAGGGUUAGUCGGGAUCUAAGGCGAGGCCGCAAGGCGUAGUCGAUGACAAGCAGGUUGAGAUUCCUGCACUAGUUUAUUUUGUUUAAGCGAUGGAGGGACGCAGGAGGCUAAGGAAAGCGCACGGCUGGAAAAGUGCGUCCAAGCAGUAAGUCCGGUGGCGAGUGAAAUGCUUGCCGCCUUAAGGACAAGCUGUGAUGGGGAGCGAAAUUAAAGUAGCGAAGUUCCUGAUGUCACACUGCCAAGAAAAGCUUCUAGUGAGAAAUAAACUACCCGUACCGCAAACCGACACAGGUAGUCGAGGAGAGUAUCCUCAGGUGAGCGAGCGAACUCUCGUUAAGGAACUCGGCAAAAUGACCCCGUAACUUCGGAAGAAGGGGUGCUGACCGCAAGGUCAGCCGCAGUGAAUAGGCCCAAACAACUGUUUAUCAAAAACACAGGUCUCUGCUAAAUCGUAAGAUGAUGUAUAGGGGCUGACGCCUGCCCGGUGCUGGAAGGUUAAGAGGAUGAGUUAGCGCAAGCGAAGCCCAGAAUUGAAGCCCCAGUAAACGGCGGCCGUAACUAUAACGGUCUAAGGUAGCGAAAUUCCUUGUCGGGUAAGUUCCGACCCGCACGAAAGGCGUAAUGAUUUGGGCACUGUCUCAACGAGAGACUCGGUGAAAUUAUAGUACCCGUGAAGAUGCGGGUUACCCGCGACAGGACGGAAAGACCCCAUGGAGCUUUACUUAGCUUGAUAUUGAGUGUUGGUACCGCUUGUACAGGAUAGGUAGGAGCCGUAGAGAUCGGAACGCUAGUUUCGAUGGAGGCAUUGGUGGGAUACUACCCUAGCUGUAUGAACACUCUAACCCGCGCCACUAAUCGUGGCGGGAGACAGUGUCAGGUAGGCAGUUUGACUGGGGCGGUCGCCUCCUAAAAUGUAACGGAGGCGCCCAAAGGUUCCCUCAGAAUGGUUGGAAAUCAUUCGCAGAGUGUAAAGGUAGAAGGGAGCUUGACUGCGAGACUGACAAGUCGAGCAGGGACGAAAGUCGGGCUUAGUGAUCCGGUGGUUCCGUAUGGAAGGGCCAUCGCUCAACGGAUAAAAGCUACCCUGGGGAUAACAGGCUUAUCUCCCCCAAGAGUCCACAUCGACGGGGAGGUUUGGCACCUCGAUGUCGGCUCAUCGCAUCCUGGGGCUGUAGUCGGUCCCAAGGGUUGGGCUGUUCGCCCAUUAAAGCGGUACGCGAGCUGGGUUCAGAACGUCGUGAGACAGUUCGGUCCCUAUCCGUCGCGGGCGCAGGAAAUUUGAGAGGAGCUGUCCUUAGUACGAGAGGACCGGGAUGGACGUUCCGCUAGUGUACCAGUUGUGCCGCCAGGCGCAUCGCUGGGUAGCUAUGAACGGAAGGGAUAAACGCUGAAAGCAUCUAAGUGUGAAGCCCCCCUCGAGAUGAGAUUUCCCAUUCCU